Molecule: transfer RNA, 74 nt
Filed under: Bacteroidia bacterium
Lineage: Bacteria; Pseudomonadati; Bacteroidota; Bacteroidia
Description: tRNA-Met
Rfam family: tRNA
About the family: Transfer RNA (tRNA) molecules are approximately 80 nucleotides in length. Their secondary structure includes four short double-helical elements and three loops (D, anti-codon, and T loops).
Source: RNAcentral
UGCGGGGUGGCAGCAGUGGUAGCUCGUUGGGCUCAUAACCCAAAGGUCGUCGGUUCGAGUCCGGCCCCCGCUAC